GUUCUGCUUGGAGGACUUGUGCCGACAGGGUUGCCAAUAACAUCCUUACACACACAGCUGGCCUCGACGGAUGGCCUGUCUUGAUCUAAACAGAGUAAUUCAGGACCCUCAGCCGCAUGGCUGGGGUUUGGGGACAGAGUGGAGUUCAGGCUCCAGCUGGUAAAAACUGGGACUAGAUAAAGACAUUCAGCGUGACGAGCCAGGCAGCAGCAUGUGAUUGUUUUCUUUAGCUGCAUUUCACCCCACAGAGAAGUCAGGGGCAGUUUCUGUCCCGAGAAAACCUGCACCCCACGCUGUGUGACCUGAUCAAAGCAGAAAGGCUGCGGGGGCCUGAGUGCCCCUUCAGAUAUUCUCUAGCACAUUCUCUGUCAGGAGCGGUUCUCAUUUCCUCUCGGGAAGGCUUGUCACUAGAAAGUUGUUCAGCCUCUUGGUUCUGGGUGACAGGAAUCUCUGACACACAAGAAACGUUAUUAUAUUUCUUUAAAUUCAACAAAGCAUCCUCCGCCCUCCCCGGAUGACCUCCUUGUUUUUCCUGUGUCUGUUACCAGAGUCACCUAGGCCAGGAACUCGGGAGCCAGCCCUCCUCCUCCCUCUCUUCCAUGCUCCGUGUCCAAUCUGCUACCGGAUUCUGUCCCUUUUGCUUCCUUUUAAAACAAAUUAAAUCCAUGUGUUUCUCACUGCGCCUACCGCACCUCCCUUAGGCCCGCCUCGUCACUUCCUGGCCCAGGCGGCUGUAACUCCCUCCCAACUACCCUCUCUUCCUCCCGUCUCGCUGCACGCACAGCUUCCCUAAAUGUAAAUCCACCGCAUCUCCCUCCCCGCUGAUAAACCCCGGGAGAGGGACUGACGGUGGCCAGAGGGCGGGAGCCCACGCCAGCCUCUCUCCCCUCCUUCCUACAGCGAACACCCCUGGACCCUGAAGAGGGCUCUGCAAGGUUAGCUGCGGCAGUGCGCCGGGGAGGGGAGCCACGCCUGAAGUACGACCCAGAACAGGGAGGAACUGGGACAAUGACCCCAUGGACCGAAGACUGUGAGGCGAAUCCCCACUAUUUUUCUCUUAUUGAGGAUAGUCCCAGCCAUGCAGAAUGGCACGUCCGUGCAGGCUGCCGUGACACCACAAGAACUCGUUGUCCUAUUUCUAGCCAGAGGCCCAGGUCCUGGCUCACCCUCAAGCUGCACGUGUGUGGGACAGACCCAAAGCAGCACGGCGAAGGCUUUGAGAACUGAACUGUGACAGAACAACUCACCCAAGUCUCAGGCUCAGCCCUGAAAGGUGCCUGUGUAGGACAGACACAUAUAAGACAGCAGAGGCUCUGAAAACUGAAUUGACACUGGAACCAACAGCCAGAGGUGGGACAGAACUUGUAGCCUGAACCUAACUAGGCUGCCUGCUAAAGCAAAAUGAAAAAUCAGCAUUCUUCAGAGGAUUUUCACAGAACCCAGGACUUACACCGUAACACUCAAAAUGUUCAGGUACAAUAUUACCCAGCAUGAAAAGAACCAGUAAAAUGUGAGCAACUCUCAGGGGAAGACAACCAACAGGUGCUAACCCUGAGAUAACCCAAACGGGACGAUCAAAGCCUUUAAAAUAGCUUUUGUAGCUAUGCUGCAUGGUAGAAGUAAACACUCUUGAAAUGAAUAGACAGACACUACAAAAAAUGAACUGAAUGGAAAUUUUAGAACCGGAAACUAUAAUAUUUGAAAAUUAAAAAAAAAUCACUGGCAGAAUAGAGGCAGGAAAGUCAGUGAAACUGAAGAUGAUAGAUCAAUAGAAAUUAUCCAAUCUGAAUGAACUGACAGAAAACAUUAAAAACAUGAACAGAACUUCCCUGGUGGCGCAG
This is a long non-coding RNA of Balaenoptera musculus (blue whale), 1841 nucleotides long. RefSeq lists it as uncharacterized. Lineage: Eukaryota; Metazoa; Chordata; Mammalia; Artiodactyla; Balaenopteridae. The record is from RefSeq and is a predicted model, not a curated record. The transcript is spliced from 3 exons.